Molecule: unclassified non-coding RNA, 353 nt
Filed under: uncultured fungus
Lineage: Eukaryota; Fungi
Description: sequence contains ITS1
Rfam family: 5.8S ribosomal RNA (bases 1-105)
Source: RNAcentral
GAAGUGCGAUAAGCAAUGCGAAUUGCAGAAUUCCGCGAAUCAUCAGAUCUUUGAACGCAAAUGGCGCCAGAGGGAUAUCCUUUUGGCAUGUCUGUUUCAGUGUCUGAGAGGUUUCACCAUUAUCUUAAUGUGAUUGAUGAAUGAGCUGCUCCUAGAGUAGCUUAACCUCAUCUCUCAUGAAAGAUGCUCGAGUGGAUCUUUCGGUCCAAUGAAGUGGUCACAUCACUCGCAUGUGAUUUCAUUGGGAUCACCGAAUUAUCCGCAUGCUCGAGGUACACUCUCAUUCACUGCUCACGCAGUGAAUCACUCCACACCCUGCAUCUGAGACAGGCAAGAUCACCCGCUGAACUUAA